GAUGAACGCUGGCGGCGUGCCCAAUACAUGCAAGUCGAGCGAAUGGAUUAAGAGCUUGCUCUUAUGAAGUUAGCGGCGGACGGGUGAGUAACACGUGGGUAACCUGCCCAUAAGACUGGGAUAACUCCGGGAAACCGGGGCUAAUACCGGAUAACAUUUUGAACCGCAUGGUUCGAAAUUGAAAGGCGGCUUCGGCUGUCACUUAUGGAUGGACCCGCGUCGCAUUAGCUAGUUGGUGAGGUAACGGCUCACCAAGGCAACGAUGCGUAGCCGACCUGGGAGGGUGAUCGGCGACACUGGGACUGGGACACGGCCCAGACUCCUACGGGAGGCAGCAGUAGGGAAUCUUCCGCAAUGGACGAAAGUCUGACGGAGCAACGCCGCGUGAGUGAUGAAGGCUUUCGGGUCGUAAAACUCUGUUGUUAGGGAAGAACAAGUGCUAGUUGAAUAAGCUGGCACCUUGACGGUACCUACCCAGAAAGCCACGGCUAACUACGUGCCAGCCGCCGCAGUAA
This 515-nucleotide ribosomal RNA is filed under the name uncultured bacterium. Its description in RNAcentral is "partial 16S ribosomal RNA". It matches the Rfam family "Bacterial small subunit ribosomal RNA", at positions 28 to 523 of the family's 1533-position model. The record is from RNAcentral.